UACAGAGGCCUCGAGCGUUAGGCGGAAUCACUGGGCUUAAAGCGUGUGUAGGCGGACUUCUAAGUACCUUGUGAAAUCCCACGGCUCACCCGUGGAACUGCUCGGUAUACUGGUUGUCUUGAGCCUUCUAGGGGCGAGUGGAACAAAUGGUGGAGCGGUGAAAUGCGUAGAUAUUAUUUGGAACGCCAAUGGUGAAAACAACUCGCUGGGGAAGUGCUGACGCGUGAGAACACGGAAAGCCAGGGGAGCGAACGGG
Molecule: ribosomal RNA, 256 nt
Filed under: uncultured bacterium
Lineage: Bacteria
Description: partial 16S ribosomal RNA
Rfam family: Bacterial small subunit ribosomal RNA
Source: RNAcentral